This 403-nucleotide ribosomal RNA is filed under the name uncultured bacterium. RNAcentral's name for it is "bacterial SSU rRNA". It matches the Rfam family "Bacterial small subunit ribosomal RNA", at positions 355 to 775 of the family's 1533-position model. The record is from RNAcentral.
UAAGGAAUCUUCCACAAUGGACGAAAGUCUGAUGGAGCAACACCGCGUGCAGGAUGACGGUCUUCGGAUUGUAAACUGCUUUUAUAUGGGAAGAUUAUGACGGUACCAUAUGAAUAAGCACCGGCUAACUACGUGCCAGCAGCCGCGGUAAUACGUAGGGUGCAAGCGUUAUCCGGAAUCACUGGGCGUAAAGCGUGCGUAGGCGGAAAUUUAAGUGUGAUGUUAAAUCGUGGGGCUCAACCCUGUCGAUGCAUCGCAUACUGGGUUUCUAGAGGACGGCAGAGGCAAGUGGAACUCGUAGUGUAGCAGUGAAAUGCGUAGAUAUUACGAAGAACACCAAUGGCGAAGGCAGCUUGCUGGGCCGCCCCUGACGCUGAGGCACGAAAGCGUGGGGAGCGAACAG